This is a non-coding RNA of Vigna umbellata (rice bean), 2076 nucleotides long. The record is from RefSeq and is a predicted model, not a curated record. Lineage: Eukaryota; Viridiplantae; Streptophyta; Magnoliopsida; Fabales; Fabaceae.
GUUAAAUAAAGAAGGGCGAAGUUGAAAAAACCAAAACCCUUUGCACCUACGAAGUGUGUGUUAGCGAGUGAAGCCCUAGACUGCACACACAUACUCCCUCCAAUGGCGGUUGUUGCGCAAACCCCUGACAUCGCCGGCGAGCGACAGUCCGGCCAAGACGUUCGCACACAAAACGUGGUGGCGUGCCAAGCCGUUGCCAACAUCGUCAAAAGCUCGUUAGGUCCCGUUGGUCUCGACAAGAUGCUCGUCGACGACAUUGGCGACGUCACGAUCACCAACGACGGUGCUACGAUUCUCAAGAUGUUGGAAGUGGAGCAUCCUGCUGCCAAGGUUUUGGUGGAACUUGCCGAGCUUCAAGACAGGGAAGUAGGAGAUGGUACUACCUCUGUCGUCAUUGUAGCCGCUGAACUUCUCAAAAGGGCAAAUGAUCUUGUCAGGAACAAGAUUCAUCCUACCUCGAUCAUCAGUGGAUAUAGACUUGCUAUGCGGGAGGCCUGUAAAUAUGUAGAAGAAAAACUGUCUGUCAAGGUUGAAAAGCUUGGAAAGGAUUCACUAAUUAACUGUGCCAAGACCAGUAUGUCCUCAAAGUUGAUUGCUGGUGAUAGUGACUUCUUUGCCAAUUUGGUUGUAGAUGCUGUGCAAUCUGUUAAGAUGACCAAUGCUCGAGGUGAAGUUAAGUACCCAAUUAAGGGAAUUAAUAUCUUGAAAGCCCAUGGAAAAAGUGCUAGAGACAGUUUUCUGAUGAAUGGUUAUGCUCUAAAUACUGGCCGUGCUGCACAAGGAAUGCCUCUUAGGGUUGCCCCUGCAAAAAUUGCGUGUCUUGAUUUCAAUCUACAGAAGACAAAAAUGCAAUUGGGUGUUCAAGUUUUAGUCACUGAUCCUAGGGAGCUAGAGAAAAUUCGUCAAAGAGAGGCUGAUAUGACUAAGGAACGGAUUGAAAAGCUAUUGAAAGCGGGAGCUAAUGUUGUUAUGACUACUAAAGGAAUUGAUGACAUGGCACUUAAGUACUUUGUUGAGGCUGGGGCAAUUGCUGUAAGACGUGUACGGAAAGAGGAUAUGCGUCACGUUGCCAAAGCUACUGGUGCAACAUUGGUCUCAACAUUUGCUGAUAUGGAAGGAGAGGAAACAUUUGAACCAUCUUUUCUUGGAUCUGCUGAUGAGGUUGUUGAGGAAAGAAUAUCUGAUGAUGCUGUAGUUAUGAUCAAAGGGACCAAAACUACAAGUGCAGUAUCUUUGAUUUUAAGAGGUGCAAAUGACCAUAUGCUUGAUGAGAUGGAUAGAGCUCUGCAUGAUGCGCUGUCGAUUGUCAAGAGAACUCUUGAAUCAAACAUGGUGGUAGCUGGUGGAGGUGCAGUUGAAGCAGCUUUGUCAGUUUAUUUGGAGUACCUUGCUACAACUUUAGGGUCUCGGGAGCAGUUGGCUAUAGCAGAAUUUGCCGAGUCUCUGUUAAUCAUUCCAAAGGUGCUUUCGGUUAAUGCUGCUAAGGAUGCUACUGAGCUGGUUGCAAAAUUACGGGCCUACCACCAUUCAGCGCAAACUAAAGCUGAUAAGAAACAUUUAUCAAGCAUGGGUCUGGACCUUUCUGAAGGGAAAAUCAGAAACAACUUGGAGGCUGGAGUCAUUGAGCCUGCAAUGAGCAAAGUCAAAAUUAUUCAGUUUGCCACAGAAGCUGCCAUUACUAUCCUACGAAUUGAUGACAUGAUCAAGCUUGUCAAGGAAGAAAGUCAAAAUGAAGAUUAGUGUUAUUGAAUUUAGAAAGCGUGUACUUCCCGGUUCUUACAAAAAGGGAGGCUUUUGCAGGUUGUGCUGGUGUGCAUUCGAAGAGGGUAUCUGCAUUUUAUCUUCAAUGCCCUUGUUCUUGAAGAGAAAAUGUUAUAAUUGAUUUUAUUAAAGUAGCGUUAAUUAUAUUUAACUAUAACUAGCAGUUUAUCUUCCUACAAAUUUUAGGCACACAUUUUUGGUCAUGCAUUGGCUGGUUGCAUGUUUGUACAUCUGAGGCAGUGUUUGGUUUCUGGAAUUUUGAUGUUUUAUUGGUAGUAAUUAGUUUUUAAUGUAUGAACUAAAUACGUGUGCAAA